Molecule: non-coding RNA, 125 nt
Filed under: Paenibacillus sp.
Lineage: Bacteria; Bacillati; Bacillota; Bacilli; Caryophanales; Paenibacillaceae
Also listed under: 1 other name
Description: SAM-I sequence
Rfam family: SAM riboswitch aptamer (S box leader)
About the family: The SAM riboswitch is found upstream of a number of genes which code for proteins involved in methionine or cysteine biosynthesis in Gram-positive bacteria. The SAM riboswitch acts at the level of transcription termination control.
Source: RNAcentral
AUCUUAUCAAGAGCAGGUGGAGGGACAGGCCCGAUGAAACCCGGCAACCGGCGUUUAACGACGCACGGUGCUAAUUCUUGCAGGAAAUGAUGCCCAUGGUGGCUUCAUUUGCUGAGAGAUGAGAG